UCGUAUCGCUCUGGUUUUGAGUUUUUCUCUUUCAAUUUUUCAAUCAAAUCGAAAUCGAAGCUAUCUAGUAGUUUAUCUCCCAACCAUGUCUUCUUCAUACGGUCGAUACAAUUCUCAAUCUUACGCUCCAUCUGCACCCGAGUUACCUCCACCUUCUAACCACACCCCUCCUAGUAACUCCUACACCCAAACCUCACCCCCCUCUUCUAACUACAACAACUACCCAUCCUAUGGUUAU
This 238-nucleotide long non-coding RNA is filed under the name Lathyrus oleraceus (garden pea). RNAcentral describes it as "Pisum sativum (pea) long non-coding RNA (PSAT_LNC022533)". Lineage: Eukaryota; Viridiplantae; Streptophyta; Magnoliopsida; Fabales; Fabaceae. The record is from RNAcentral.